Molecule: ribosomal RNA, 253 nt
Filed under: uncultured bacterium
Lineage: Bacteria
Description: partial 16S ribosomal RNA
Rfam family: Bacterial small subunit ribosomal RNA
Source: RNAcentral
UACGAGGGGUGCAAGCGUUGCUCGGAAUUAUUGGGCGUAAAGAGCUCGUAGGCGGUUUGUCGCGUCUGCUGUGAAAACUGGAGGCUCAACCUCCAGCCUGCAGUGGGUACGGGCAAACUAGAGUGCGGUAGGGGAGAUUGGAAUUCCUGGUGUAGCGGUGGAAUGCGCAGAUAUCAGGAGGAACACCGAUGGCGAAGGCAGAUCUCUGGGCCGUAACUGACGCUGAGGAGCGAAAGCAUGGGGAGCGAACAGG